GUUUCUUUAGUAUAAUUGAGUACAUUUACCUUCCAAGUAAAAAGUUUAAUUACUUUAAAAGAAAUA
RNAcentral lists this transfer RNA (66 nucleotides) under Dendrochiton gothicus. Its description in RNAcentral is "tRNA-Gly". Lineage: Eukaryota; Metazoa; Mollusca; Polyplacophora; Chitonida; Mopaliidae. The record is from RNAcentral.